Manis pentadactyla (Chinese pangolin) is the source of this 2993-nucleotide long non-coding RNA. RefSeq lists it as uncharacterized. Lineage: Eukaryota; Metazoa; Chordata; Mammalia; Pholidota; Manidae. The transcript has 2 exons. The record is from RefSeq and is a predicted model, not a curated record.
GCGUAGUAAGAAAUACCAGCUUGAGAUUCAUUUCAAGGUUGAAAGUACAUAUUCCGGUCUCCUGAGAACGAACAUUCUGAGUUGAGGUUUCAAUUGGAUUUUUAAACGGUAGAUUCUCUUGAAGUUACGUUCAAAUUGUGUCGAUAAACGUUCCCCUGUUGACAUCUUGCAAAACAGUCUCAGAAAGAAAGCCCCUUUGCUUCUGCAGCCUUAAACAGCAAAGAGCUUCCUCAGUUCUUUGUGUAUUGUGUGUGUGGUUGGUUUUGGUCCUUCUAUUGAAAAGCAAAUGCCUACACACCGGUAUGUUCCUACACUUUAAAUACUUUUUUUCAAGAUCUCUAUAGUGCAGUUCUGCAGUUCUGUUUCAAGCUAAACUGGAGUCUAUGUUGUAGUGCACAAAAAUAAAAUGUUAGAACCUGUUGUUAAGAAUUAGGAGACGACUAUAUCAAUGGUAAGCAUGUGCUCCCUGACUAUUCAAAGUUCUACUGGAGUAUAUUAUCCCUUCCUAUAUUGCCUGCAUACUUAUCUUGAUGUUAUAUUGUAGUUGUCUCUUGUUUCUAAGACAGUAUGUAUAUUUCUCCACCUGAGUACUUUAUACUAUAAACUCUUCUGAACAUUCUUACUGUAUCCAGCACUAAAUUCAUAGAAGGGUUGCUGAAUUCACGUCUGAUGAAAUUCACCUAUUUUUGCAGGUGGGAGGAAAUAUGGGCAGUAAAAUAUCUGAUAGGGAAAGCUCUGACCCAGAUAAUAGCUGUGCCAGUAAAAUAAGAAAAAGAACAAAAGGCAAUUUCUGAGAACACAUAGAAUUCAAGGAAAAGAUACGUUUUGAAAACAGAUUCAGUAAUACUGAAGACCAAAUCCUGCAUCUUCUGCCUUCAGAAAACUAGUCCUGUAAUGUGUUCAGCCCUUGACUGGCAGCAGUUCUACCUUUUCUUCCAUCUUCUGAGCAUCAUUAAAACGGAAAAUUUACAAGGACAGCAACCUAGCGGGUGGCUCCACUCUGUGUCGCACCCCUCCCUCCUUAACAUAAACAACACUACAAGGACAGUAAUUUACGAGGUGGCUCCCCUCUGCCUCGCCCCCUCCUCAACCCAAACAAAAAAAAGAACACUCCCCUGGUUUCCCCGUGCUGCCGAGCACCGCGUCCCAAGGUUCGCUCCCUGAACUCCCUCCCCCUUGCCUGCCCGCUUGCUGUGUACGUAGGAAUGUUACAGAUAAGGAAGCAGAAAGGUAUAAAUUGCUCUUUUCCUUUGUUCCGGGCUCAGACUUUUUGGGAGAUUACUCCCCUCUGAGCCUGCCAGUGUGAAAUAAAGCCUCAACACUCCUAGACCUCCGAGUGCCGCUUGGUUUUUUCCGUGGGUGAUCCAGUCCAGGUUUUUUUUCAGUAUUUUCCGUAACAUUUGGUUCCCUCACCGGGAAACCCAACCGCGCUGGCCCUUUGUUGCCACCGGUUUGGGGCAAUGGCGGGGCGGUGAAGGAACAGGAGAUCGCAACGGAGAAGGCGCGCCCUGCCUGACCCCUCGGCAGUCUCCCACCCGGUCGCCCUGGGCCAGCCCCGCUCCGCUGUUCCCGCGGGACUCAAGCAGGCUUGGCAGGUGAGGACCUGGUUCUGACACUGAAUCCGGUUGCAGGCGUCACUCCAGGGGUCCGUCAUUCCUGAGUGAAAGGAGCCUGUCACCCUGACAAGGAAGCACAUCAGGAGGAGGCCCAGCCAUACCUCCAGAUCCUCUGCGCCUCGGCAUCCCACGAUUGCCCUCUGACUACACCUGCACUCUGGGCAUUAGACUUUGUGCUGCUGCACCCCUGGACUGGACUAUUCCUCAAAAAGUUGCUCUUUCUAUUGUCUAUUGGGUAAUCUUAAAUUGUUUUACUGUGCUUACCUGUCUCUCUUAGCUGGACCCAAGUCUCAACCUGCAUUUCCAAAGUACCUCUCUGUAAUGUUUAAUUGUACAAAAGUUAUAAAGUGCAUAGUGGGCUAACGGGGGCUACCUCCUUUCCCCGGAACAAGCUGCCCCUUUACUGAUCCCUGCUCUGGUCGGGCUCAGUGGAGCCGGAUCAGCUGCAGUAGACACAGCAGCUCUAAUAGACUUAGGGCCUGAUGCCCUAACAGAGGAAGCUGAUCAAGGUUUAGAGCAGCUUGAAACCACCAUGAUUCAGCCGCAAGAUCAGAUCAGACUGAUUCCCUGGCUAAAGUGUUGCAAAAUUGUAGAAGACUGGACCUCCUGUUCAUGUCACAGGGAAGCUUAUGUGUAGCCCUCAAAGAAGAUUGUUGUUUUUAUACAAAUAAGUCUGGCAUAGUUAAGAGUAAUCUAGCCAAAGUAAAAAAAACAUCCAGCAUAGGAAUAAAAUGUUAGAAAAUAAAAAGUCUUAGUUCCAAGAAUGAUUUGAAUAGAAUCCAUGGCUGACAACUCUUCUGACUUGGCAGUGCUGGGCCGGCGAUUCUGCUGUUCCUUAAACUAUUAGUAGAACUCUGUGUAUUAACUGGCUCGUUAACUUUAUCGAGGAAUGCAUUUCCUCCAUACAGCUCAUGUAUAUGCGGAGCCACUACGACCCUGUCAUAAGCCAAGGAGAUGAUGCCCCCUAAAACGAAGUGUUUGAAGGGGCAUCAGAGGGGGGAAUGAUAGGGAAAAUUUACAAGGACAGCAACCUAGCGGGUGGCUCCACUCUGUGUCGCACCCCUCCCUCCUCAACAUAAACAACACUACAAGGACAGUAAUUUACGAGGUGGCUCCCCUCUGCCUCGCCCCCUCCUCAACCCAAACAUAAAAAGAACACUCCCCUGGUUUCCCCGUGCUGCCGAGCACCGCGUCCCAAGGUUCGCUCCCUGAACUCCCUCCCCCUUGCCUGCUCGCUUGCUGUGUACGUAGGAAUGUUACAGAUAAGGAAGCAGAAAGGUAUAAAUUGCUCCCUUUUCCUUUGUUCGGGGCUCAGACUUUUUGGGAAAUUACUCCCCUCUGAGCCCGCCGGUGUGAAAUAAAGCCUCAACACUCCAA